This 406-nucleotide ribosomal RNA is filed under the name uncultured bacterium. RNAcentral's name for it is "bacterial SSU rRNA". It matches the Rfam family "Bacterial small subunit ribosomal RNA", at positions 976 to 1381 of the family's 1533-position model. The record is from RNAcentral.
UAGCCUUGACAUUGAUUGAACACACUAGAGAUAGAGUGGUGCCCUUCGGGGAACAUGAAAACAGGUGCUGCACGGCUGUCGUCAGCUCGUGUCGUGAGAUGUUGGGUUAAGUCCCGCAACGAGCGCAACCCUCGUCCUUAGUUGCUAGCAGUUCGGCUGAGCACUCUAAGGAGACUGCCUUCGUAAGGAGGAGGAAGGUGAGGACGACGUCAAGUCAUCAUGGCCCUUACGGCUAGGGCAACACACGUGCUACAAUGGUUAGGACAAUGAGAAGCGAUACCGCGAGGUGGAGCAAAUCUAUAAACCUAAUCUCAGUUCGGAUAGCAGUCUGCAACUCGACUGCUUGAAGCUGGAAUCACUAGUAAUCGUAAAUCAGCUAUGUUACGGUGAAUACGUUCCCGGGUCU